GUUUGCUGUGAGCAUUUGGAAGAUACUCUAUCAGGUUGUGAAGGUCCUUUAUUGCUGGCUCAUGAUGAGUUUUGUAUCAGGCAUAGCUGUUGGAUUUUAUAAAGUGUUAUUUCUCUGAAGUGUUGCAGGCCCUUUUAGUGAGAAGUGUAACGUUAACAGUUAUCUGUUGCUGCGUAACGAUAUUCAAACCCAGUAGCUCUGAGCGACGAUAAUUUAUUUUCUCCGCUGUGCAAUUUGGCCUUGGCUAGCUUCUUUGGUCUGGGGCCACUCAUGUCAUUUGGCUGCUGUACUGGCAAGAGAUGAUUCAAGGUGACCUCACUCCCAUUUCUGGCCGUGGGUUAGGCCUGUCAGCCAACGGGUCCCAGUUGUUCUCCGUGGGGCCUCUCCAGGAGGGUGGCCCAGCGUUUUUGCAUCCCGGUGGCAGCAUCCCAUGACGGCUGCCCCUGAGGAGCAUCUCUGCUGGGCACGCUUGCUGUCACCCUGUUGGCCAAAGCAGGUCACAUGACUAGCGCGGAGCCAAUGUGGGAGGGGCUACGCCGGCAGGUGCCUCCAGGGGGUGGGCUUCACCGCGGGCAUUGAGACAAAGGUAUCGCACACGCCGUGUUCAGCUUUGGGCUGUGACAGAGGCCGGCGUGUCUAUACACGUUUGGGUCUAGGAGCUGCUUCAUCAGACCCGUCUCCCCAUGCGCUCUGUCAUGACCGCCUGUCCCGUGCCUCACGGCUCUGGAGACACCCAGUAACUUGGCUGCCGGGGGAAGGAAGAAUGUUGUAGACCUUCUUAACUCACGGAGUUUGGCUUCACUACAGGAGGAAACCCCGAGACGCUAAUUUCCUCUGGACCCAACCCCACCGCCUCUUGCAAGCUUUCCCACUGCCUGUGGUGACUCCUUGCCACCAAGGGCAGAGUUAUGGGGACUCCCUUGACCCGGCUCCCUCUCCCCUCCUCCCUGAUGCCUAUGAAGCCGGUGGGGGGGGGGGCGGUGGAGGGGGGUGCAGUCUCUUUAGAGUUUUCUUUAGAAAAGCUAAGGUGCAUAAAAUCAUCCCCUAAUCGCCCAAAGCUUGGUUCUAACCCCCAGCUCUGGCCUUCUGUAAUUUUUAGCAUGCUCGUUAUAGAUCAAGGUUAUACAGCAGAAUGCUUCAGUCCCGAGCGUGGCUGGGUUUAUGUGCUGUUCGGGAAGCGCUGGGUACUCCAGUGAUGAACAGAACGGAGGACACUUACGAGCAACUGCGGGGUAGUUAACAUGACGGAUGGAGAAGUAUGGGGUGGUGUUUCCGCCUCCGGUCAGGUCACUGAGGAGAAAGGAAGGAGUAAUUAAGACGGCUGGGUAAUGCUUCUGGAACAGUUAGCCUCUGCAGGCCGGAGGCAAGUCCGCAGGGGCGGCGGAGGAGGGGCUGGAGAGUCAGGAAAGGGAGUGAGCUGCUUGGGAGGCGGCUCAUUACCAUGGAAAUGAAGGAAGAGUGAGGCACUGACCUUGAACGGGAGGAGGGAGCUGGACAAGGGCCACCACGGAGAAGGUUACGGCCCUGAGGGAGUCACUUGCAGUCCCUGUGCUCAGACAUCAAGGUGGAACAUGAAUCUGAGCGUCGCCCUUCUCUAGCCCCUCACGUUGGCUGAUGACAUUUUCUUGAUCACCAUUCUGCUAAUGGAGGAGGGAAAAUGAAUGUCAGCUCAGUGAGAUUCUACCUCAAAUUAACCUUUGACUCACGGCCCUGGCUGGAAUUGGGUUUUUCCCUCCCCAAAGCUUCGAGCUGAGUCGACGCCUCCCAGAGGAGCUACAGGGACGCGGUCUUCCGUCCCUGUCCCAGAAGACUGCUUCUUCCACCGGGAUGGGACAGAAAGAGCUGGAAGGCGGGAUGGCCAGAGAUCGGAUGGCCCAUGACCAUCCUCCGCCUGGGCUCCGCUCUGCUCCCGCUGCCUGGACCAAAGUGCAGUUCCUUCCGAUCCCUGGAUAGAAAAAAAAAACAUGGCUAAUAUGGAGGAACGCGUUUAAAAUGAAAUCCCAAACUGAAAUCGGUCUGCUGCCCCAAUUCUGGUCAGAGUGGAAGAAAAGAGCCCCUGAAGGCUGGUUGUCGUGGCUCCAGAGGGAGUACAUGAUUGCUGCCGUCUGGCCUUUGCAGAGAGCUGGAGAGUCUCUGUGCCUCAUUCUGCUCCAGAGCAAGCAGUUUUCUCUCCUUUGGUGCCAGAAGUGCUGAUGAGCACAUCUCUCCUCGGUGAGGAAGGGAAAGCUUGGACUGCGGGUUCUUUCGAGGAUCUGAAGCUCUUGGUCCUGGUUAUCUAUUUCCACUUGGUGCUCUGAGAGAUUAGCACUUUCCUUGCAAGCGGAGUGCAAUUUCUGUGAAUUCAAUCAAGAAUGAAGUUCUGGACCCAGCUUCCUGCAAGGAUUGAGCACAGUCGGCUGGAACCAGGGGACCCUUUUACCUUCAGCAACGCCACAUUGCUGCCUUGUCCUUUUUCUUGGUGGAGAUUUAUAUGUUUUUCAUGCUGUCUCACUCAGUUUCCUCCGUCACCCGGUGGAUUGUUCUUUUACAGAUGAAGAGCCUGACGUCCAAGACAACUAAAUGAGUUGUCCAAGGUCGCUCAGGAAGGGGGAGGGCUGGAGUCGAACCCUGUCUUUAUGCCUCCACAACUUGUACUCUGUCUACCGUGGGCCUUCUCUGCCUCCC
Long non-coding RNA from Leopardus geoffroyi (Geoffroy's cat), 2664 nucleotides. RefSeq lists it as uncharacterized. The transcript is spliced from 3 exons. NCBI's taxonomy places the organism in Eukaryota, Metazoa, Chordata, Mammalia, Carnivora, Felidae. The record is from RefSeq and is a predicted model, not a curated record.